UAAGUUGCCUUUGUAGUUAUG
This 21-nucleotide non-coding RNA is filed under the name Arabidopsis thaliana (thale cress). Lineage: Eukaryota; Viridiplantae; Streptophyta; Magnoliopsida; Brassicales; Brassicaceae. The record is from RNAcentral.